Molecule: long non-coding RNA, 414 nt
Organism: Gossypium raimondii (Peruvian cotton)
Lineage: Eukaryota; Viridiplantae; Streptophyta; Magnoliopsida; Malvales; Malvaceae
Exons: 3
Source: RefSeq, a predicted model, not a curated record
UUGAGUUCUACAUGUUAGAGGUGUCCAAUUGUUAUGAAACUUUAAAUUGGAGGUCCUUAUAUGGUAAUUAUACCAUUGGUAACUUGGUAGACAAAAAUGGACAUGAGAUAAGUGAAAUAGAAAAUUUUUAAGUUAGGGGCAAUUUGGUAAUCUAGUAAUUAAAAUGAAUUAAAAGGGAAAAAGAUGGCAAAAAUCAUCAUCUUCUUCAUUAGGACGAAAUCAGCAAGGGGGGAAGCCAUAGUUAGGGUUUUCAAGCUUCCAAGCUCCAUAAUCAAGAAGAACGAAACUCGAGGUUAGACAAAGGGAAGAAUAAAGUUGAAGACUAAGUUGUUGAAUUGGACUAUAUUUGAUACCGAGUAUUGCAAAGCUACUUCAAGGAUCCUAAAGAAGUCGGAGAUCGUCCACACUAUCAAC